RNAcentral lists this ribosomal RNA (434 nucleotides) under uncultured Mobilitalea sp. Its description in RNAcentral is "partial 16S ribosomal RNA". It matches the Rfam family "Bacterial small subunit ribosomal RNA", at positions 341 to 792 of the family's 1533-position model. Lineage: Bacteria; Bacillati; Bacillota; Clostridia; Lachnospirales; Lachnospiraceae. The record is from RNAcentral.
ACGGGAGGCAGCAGUGGGGAAUAUUGGACAAUGGGGGGAACCCUGAUCCAGCGACGCCGCGUGAGUGAAGAAGUAUUUCGGUAUGUAAAGCUCUAUCAGCAGGGAAGAUGAUGACGGUACCUGACUAAGAAGCCCCGGCUAGCUACGUGCCAGCAGCCGCGGUAAUACGUAGGGGGCAAGCGUUAUCCGGAUUUACUGGGUGUAAAGGGAGCGUAGGCGGCCGCGCAAGUCAGAUGUGAAACCCCGGGGCUUAACUCCGGGACUGCAUUUGAAACUGUGAUGCUAGAGUGCGGGAGAGGUAAGCGGAAUUCCUAGUAUAGCGGUGAAAUGCGUAGAUAUUAGGAAGAACACCAGUGGCGAAGGCGGCUUACUGGACCGUAACUGACGCUGAGGCUCGAAAGCGUGGGGAGCAAACAGGAUUAGAUACCCUGGUA